Molecule: long non-coding RNA, 1823 nt
Filed under: Urocitellus parryii (Arctic ground squirrel)
Lineage: Eukaryota; Metazoa; Chordata; Mammalia; Rodentia; Sciuridae
Description: lncRNA (ENSUPAG00010016483.1)
Source: RNAcentral
CACCGUGGAAUCAGUGUAUGGAGCAAACCUGAGUGUCGCAAAGCAAAUAUUUCACAUUUCAUGUUAAAUCAGAUCCUAAAACAAGUGUGAAGAAUUGGGAUUAAGUGAGAAACGUACAUUUCAGGAGCUGAAAUGGGUUUUGAUCAGGGGGAAACCCUGCCCUGUCCCCUCUCUUCCCGGGGAGUCUGGAUGCCGUUCCAGGGGCCGGAUGUCACGAGGUGCACUGAACAGCAAGAGAGGCUGAGGUGAGGCCGGGCAGGCUGGGUGGACAGAUGUGUGACAGGUGUCACACCAGCUUUUAGACCUAGGAGAUUAAAGUGGGGCUUGGCUUUCAAGAAAAGGUAUUUAAAAUUAAAUGAAAAGGACACUAGGGGAGGAAUGGCCGCCGCUGGAGAGCCGCCGCAUCUCCACGGCCAGGUCGGCAUCCUUGCGGGGGUCAGGCUGCGGGGCAGCCCUGGGCUUUUCCUGGAUGCCGCCUUUACCCAGCAGCCGCAGCCGAGGGAGGAGCGCGGGAGCACCACGCUGCCUGCUAAUCUGGGGCUUGUGGCCUGGGUUUGGUGAGUGCGUGUGUGCGUGGCGACGUCCGUGCUGCAUGUCAUCCUUGAGCAGAGCUCAGGAAGGAGCACCUGGCUGCAGAGAUUACUCAACGCGCCCGCAGAGCCCCUCAAUGCAGUGGACUGGAGGACACGGACAGGGACCUGGGCUGCUAUGUCCGGGCCGUGGGAGCCUUGCUGCCUGGACAGUGUGCCCUGAGGGGACCCCGGAUGGCAGUCAGGCACUGGCCUGGCUCAGGCCUGGCUCCGCUCUUCAGUGGUCAGCGUGAGCCCUGCCAUCCUCCUUUCUUUGUCUGUGGAUGCGGGGUCAUUGCAGUCGGCCUCAACGCCCCCUUAGCUCUUCCAUUCUCAAAUUCCAUUUACCUUUUGAUCCGGUUCCAUCCUUUUAAGUGCUGUCACCUUUGCUUACUUGUAUAAACACGAGAGAAAAUCAUACUUGUUUACUAACUUAAAUUUAAACAAUGAAUAACAAGAAAAACGUGAAAGAGAACCCAUCACCUCUGAGCCUACAGGUUGCGAGAAMCCCCCUGGCUCCCCCUGAGCGCCCCAGGCCCGGCCAGCAGCCUGGGCUCCCGGAGUCUCCGGCCCUGGAGGGGGCGGGCAAUGCUGCUCUGCCGCGCCCUCUGGUGGCCGCUCUCCGUCAUGGUCACCAGCCGCAGGGUUGUGCCUUGGGCUGCCCAGGCGAAAGAUUUAAUUUACUCCGACAAAUAUUCCAUCUGGUGYUUCGGGUAGAGUCCCGGAAAAUGCCAUCUCUCUUUUCUGGAAGUCUCUCUCUUAGUGGCCAGUGAUGAAGAUGCCAGAAAAAAGUAGCCCAUUCAUCAUAUUUAUGUUGUGUGAGAUGGUACCUCAGAGGGUGAAGUCAAUGAGAAGAAUGAGUAAUUGAAACAAGCAUUUUUGUUCCCUUGGCAGAAAGUCAGUCAUUAGCCAUAUACCUAUUUUACAAAGGGAGAUUAGAUAAAUUAGAGAUUAAAGAAAGUGGAACAGAUGUUUUUCCUCUGAUAAGCAUCAUUCUAUCAAAAAAGCAAAGAAACAACAACAAAAAAGCAAACCUCGGGAGACUUGGACUUGGUGCAGAAAACGUGGAGGCAGAAAUCCCAGGUUGGGGGAGACGUGGCCUGCACAGGGCCACACCUGGACCGUGUGGACGCUCUCAUCGUGCCAUGACUCAUCGCAGCGCAUCCUUCCAUGUCGUGAGGGUGCCAGGCGCCCAUGAGUUGUGUGGCGCCAGGCGCCUCGUGGACCUUGUCUUUACCCUCGCAGUAGCAGCCA